RNAcentral lists this ribosomal RNA (301 nucleotides) under uncultured bacterium. RNAcentral's name for it is "partial 16S ribosomal RNA". It matches the Rfam family "Bacterial small subunit ribosomal RNA", at positions 509 to 807 of the family's 1533-position model. The record is from RNAcentral.
CAGUAGCCGCGGGAAUACGAAGGGUGCAAGCGUUAAUCGGAAUUACUGGGCGUAAAGCGCGCGUAGGUGGUUCAUUAAGUUGGAUGUGAAAGCCCUGGGCUCAACCUGGGAACUGCAUCCAAAACUGGUGAGCUAGAGUACGGUAGAGGGUAGUGGAAUUUCCUGUGUAGCGGUGAAAUGCGUAGAUAUAGGAAGGAACACCAGUGGCGAAGGCGACUACCUGGACUGAUACUGACACUGAGGUGCGAAAGCGUGGGGAGCAAACAGGAUUAGAUACCCGGGUAGUCCCUGUCUCUUAUAC